GAUGAACGCUGGCGGCAUGCCUAAGACAUGCAAGUCGAACGAAGUGGCCCAACAAUAGCUGCGUGCUUGCACAAUGCUUGCGAUGGAAUUUCCACUUAGUGGCAGACGGGUGAGUAACACGUAAGUAACCUACCUCAAAGACUGGAAUAAUGUCUGGAAACGGACACUAAUACCGGAUAAUUCAUAUUUAGAUAACUAGAUAUGCUGAAAGGAGCGUUUGCUCCACUUCGAGAUGGGCUUGCGGCGUAUUAACUAGUUGGUGGGUAAUGGCCUACCAAGGUGACGAUGCGUAGCCGAACUGAGAGUUGAUCGGCACAUUGGGACUGAGACACGGCCCAAACUCCUACGGAGGCAGCAGUUAGGAAUAUUCGUCAAUGGGGGAAACCCUGAACGNGCAAUGCCGCGUGAGUGAUGA
Molecule: ribosomal RNA, 415 nt
Filed under: uncultured bacterium
Lineage: Bacteria
Description: bacterial SSU rRNA
Rfam family: Bacterial small subunit ribosomal RNA
Source: RNAcentral